GUAAGUCAGACAAUCGCGUGUGCAUGCGCCGAAAGGCCGCACAUGAGGAAAGUCCGGGCUCCACAGGGCAGGAUUGUGGGUAACGCCCACCGAAGGCGACUUUAGGGACAGUGCAACAGAGAGAUACCGCCGGCUUUUGCCGGUAAGGGUGGAAAGGCGGGGUAAGAGCCCACCGGCAUCCGGGUGACCGGGUGGCCAUGUAAACCCAAUCUGGAGCAACACCGCAUGGAACGGUCCGGGCAACCGGACGGCGCUUGCCCGGCGCAUGUUCAGGUAGGUGGCAAGAGCUGCAUGGCAACGUGCGGCCACAGAUAGAUGAUUGUCAAAUACAGAACCCGGCUUACAGACUUGGUCG
RNAcentral lists this RNase P RNA (355 nucleotides) under human gut metagenome. RNAcentral's name for it is "Bacterial RNase P class A". It matches the Rfam family "Bacterial RNase P class A". From Rfam's summary of the family: Ribonuclease P (RNase P) is a ubiquitous endoribonuclease, found in archaea, bacteria and eukarya as well as chloroplasts and mitochondria. Its best characterised activity is the generation of mature 5'-ends of tRNAs by cleaving the 5'-leader elements of precursor-tRNAs. The record is from RNAcentral.